UUCUAUUCUAUUCUACAUUUCUGAAGCCACCUUCGUCACCUGGCAGCGUUACGCUGUGCUUUCAGAACUUGAUGCACACGACGAGAGCGAUUCAGGUAAGGAGGCAGUGGAGGCACGCCUGAAUGGGUUGAAAGCCUCCAGAAAAAGGUGGUCAUGAAAGUUGGAUUCUCAGCAGACGCCGCAGCUUCUGUCAACUCAGUUUACAGUGAGACACUAACACACCGGCAGUUAUCGUCUCAGGGGCAGCCACCAGCUCUUGAAGUGUCUGCAGCUCAAAGGUCAACACGUCAUUCUUUAAGUACAUCUGGGCCCAUUUAGUUUCCAGUGGAAAGAACGUUGCAUUUUUCUGCUCGCUGCUGUUGAGUCACAAGGCCCAGAGGAUGUGA
Molecule: long non-coding RNA, 386 nt
Organism: Poecilia latipinna (sailfin molly)
Lineage: Eukaryota; Metazoa; Chordata; Actinopteri; Cyprinodontiformes; Poeciliidae
Exons: 3
Source: RefSeq, a predicted model, not a curated record